RNAcentral lists this ribosomal RNA (394 nucleotides) under uncultured bacterium. Its description in RNAcentral is "partial 16S ribosomal RNA". It matches the Rfam family "Bacterial small subunit ribosomal RNA", at positions 523 to 918 of the family's 1533-position model. The record is from RNAcentral.
AUACGUAUGGGGCAAGCGUUAUCCGGAAUUAUUGGGCGUAAAGAGUGCGUAGGUGGUUACCUAAGCGCAAGGUUUAAUCUUGAGGCUCAACCUCAUUCUGCCUUGCGAACUGGGCUACUUGAGUGCAGGAGGGGAAAGCGGAAUUCCCAGUGUAGCGGUGAAAUGCGUAGAUAUUGGGAAGAACACCGGUGGCGAAGGCGGCUUUCUGGACUGUAACUGACACUGAGGCACGAAAGCGUGGGGAGCAAACAGGAUUAGAUACCCUGGUAGUCCACGCCGUAAACGAUGGGCACUAGUUGCUGGGUACGAAUGUAUUCAGUGACGCAGUUAACGCAAUAAGUGCUCCGCCUGGGGAGUACGGUGGCAACACUAAAACUCAAAUGAAUUGACGGGG